Nomascus leucogenys (northern white-cheeked gibbon) is the source of this 1317-nucleotide RNA transcript. It is a transcript of the gene named chromosome 2 C16orf86 homolog, with no coding region annotated. The record is from RefSeq and is a predicted model, not a curated record. The transcript has 4 exons. NCBI's taxonomy places the organism in Eukaryota, Metazoa, Chordata, Mammalia, Primates, Hylobatidae.
CCGCGCUCGCCGUUUCUCUUCCCAGCUCUGCCCUCGCUUGCUGGCCGGUCUCCGGGGUCAGCGCGGGGCCACCAUCCAGCCCCUUGGGACCUGCUCCAAGCAGCUGUCGAGGACGCACUGAGCCUGCGCAGCCAUGGCCUCGGCAGGGGCGGAGAGGAGGCCGGGGGUCCAGGAGGCCACGGUCGUGGGGCAGGGGCAGCUCACGGAGGAGCCCGGCAGCGCUCAGACCUCCGAGGUGUUCAGUGACGGAUCCCUAUGUCCUUUGCCCGGCCAUGGUGACCGAUGGCCUGUGUGUCACCUCUAGUGUCCAGUGGCGGGAGACCAGUUCCUGGUGCCAGCCCAUGAGGCCAACGGAACCCAGAGUGAAGACCAGCGCCCAGCAGGCGCAGCUUCGGAGCCGGAGCUCCAGGAGGAAGGACCCAAGCUGGGGGAGGAGAGGCCCAAGCCGUAUGCCGGGGCGCUAGAGGAGAGAGGCCCCAGGACCGUGGUCUCCAUUGUGAGGCCCCGUCAUGGUCCAAAGAGAAAGCCUCUCAAGUCCCUCAGCUUCCUGGGCCUUCAUGCCCAUCUUAAGGCUGAAGCUGAACUGCCACCCAGGCUGCCGCUGCAGGAGAAGGAGUCAGAGGGCAGCCAGAGUGAGCCCUCACCAUCUGCCAAACAGCACAAAAAAGCCAAGAAGCGCAAGAGCCUGGGGGCUCCCGUGCUCCACGCUGUGGCCAGCACAGUGUCUGCACCCUUAGAGACAUUGGGGCUGGAGCGAAAGGCCCAGCGCCUGCGGCCCCUCUACCAGUACAUCAACUAUUGCAACCCCGAGUUGAACCAGGCAGGGGAGGGGGACGGGGAGGCUGAGGUGGAGGCAGAGGCAGAGCUGGCCCCGGUUCCCGAGGAGGCAGGUGUGGAGCAACUGCAGGCCUUGCUGCCCUUGGCAGGUGAGCUGGGCCCAGGCCUCACUUUGCCCUGUCCCAGUCCACUAGUGACCCCCACCCAUGCUCUGGCUCCCUUCGGAGAGGAGGCUGGAGAGGAGCCUGGGGGCUUGCCCAGCUUGGGGGUGAGUGACCACCACAAGGCCGAGGUGGAUAAGUCAACCCAGGUGGACAUCGACAAGAUGCUAAGUGUCUGCACUGCUCCGCUUGUCCCUCCGCUCUCUCCUCAUUACAAGUGACUGUCCCGCCCCACUGGUGGCUCUCCUCUUUCCACACCUGAAUUUGGCUUCAGGCUUCCUGUGGGCCCAGGCCCUCUGGUGGCGGGGGCAAAUUUGGCACCUGCCCCCACUUGGGACUUUGGUCUUGCUGAAAAUAAAUAUUUUUCUUUUUCAAAGAC